Molecule: ribosomal RNA, 732 nt
Filed under: uncultured bacterium
Lineage: Bacteria
Description: bacterial SSU rRNA
Rfam family: Bacterial small subunit ribosomal RNA
Source: RNAcentral
UUAUCUGCCUUGGGUCUGGCAUAACGUCGGGAAACCGGCGCUAAUUCCAGAUGAUAUCGCAAGAUCAAAGCCUUCGGGCGCCCAAGGAUGAGCUUGCGUCUGAUUAGCUUGUUGGCGGGGUAAUGGCCCACCAAGGCGACGAUCAGUAGCCGGUCUGAGAGGAUGAUCGGCCACAUUGGGACUGAGACACGGCCCAGACUCCUACGGGAGGCAGCAGUAAGGAAUAUUGCGCAAUGGACGAAAGUCUGACGCAGCAACGCCGCGUGCAGGAUGAAGGCCCUUUGGGUUGUAAACUGCUGUAGAAAGGGAAUAAUAGUUUGCCACGGGUGAACUUGAAGGUACCUUUAAAGUAAGCGCCCGGCUAACUACGUGCCAGCAGCCGCGGUAAUACGUAGGGCGCAAGCGUUGUCCGGAUUCACUGGGUGUAAAGGGUGCGCAGGCGGAUUGGCAAAGUCAAGAAGUGAAAUCUUACGGCUCAACCGUGAAACUGCUUUUGAUACUGCUUAUCUUGAGUUCGGGAGAGGUUGAUGGAAUUCCAGGUGUAGCGGUGAAAUGCGUAGAUAUCUGGAAGAACACCAGUGGCGAAGGCGGUCAACUGGCCCGCAACUGACGCUCAUGCACGAAAGCGUGGGGAUCAAACAGGAUUAGAUACCCUGGUAGUCCACGCCCUAAACGAUGCAUGCUUGGUGUUGGCUCUUUAGAGUCAGUGCCGUAGGUAACCUGUUAAGCAUA